CUCAACGGAUAAAAGCUACCCCGGGGAUAACAGGCUUAUCUCCCCCAAGAGUUCACAUCGACGGGGAGGUUUGGCACCUCGAUGUCGGCUCAUCGCAUCCUGGGGCUGUAGUCGGUCCCAAGGGUUGGGCUGUUCGCCCAUUAAAGCGGUACGCGAGCUGGGUUCAGAACGUCGUGAGACAGUUCGGUCCCUAUCCGUCGUGGGCGUAGGAAAUUUGAGAGGAGCUGUCCUUAGUACGAGAGGACCGGGAUGGACAUACCUCUGGUGUACCAGUUGUCGUGCCAACGGCAUAGCUGGGUAGCUAUGUGUGGACGGGAUAAGUGCUGAAAGCAUCUAAGCAUGAAGCCCCCCUCAAGAUGAGAUUUCCCAACUUCGGUUAUAAGAUCCCUCAAAGAUGAUGAGGUUAAUAGGUUCGAGGUGGAAGCAUGGUGACAUGUGGAGCUGACGAAUACUAAUCGAUCGAAGACUUAAUCAAAA
This 477-nucleotide ribosomal RNA is filed under the name Staphylococcus aureus. RNAcentral's name for it is "partial 23S ribosomal RNA". It matches the Rfam family "Bacterial large subunit ribosomal RNA", at positions 2448 to 2925 of the family's 2925-position model. Lineage: Bacteria; Bacillati; Bacillota; Bacilli; Caryophanales; Staphylococcaceae. The record is from RNAcentral.